GCCCUUAUAGCUCAGUGGUAGAGCGCUGCACUUGUAAUGCAGAGGUCCAUCGUUCGAACCGGUGUGGGGGCA
This is a non-coding RNA of Aspergillus alliaceus, 72 nucleotides long. Lineage: Eukaryota; Fungi; Ascomycota; Eurotiomycetes; Eurotiales; Aspergillaceae. The record is from the annotation of a RefSeq genome assembly.